This 85-nucleotide transfer RNA is filed under the name Claviceps sp. LM454 group G7. Its description in RNAcentral is "tRNA-Ala". It matches the Rfam family "tRNA". From Rfam's summary of the family: Transfer RNA (tRNA) molecules are approximately 80 nucleotides in length. Their secondary structure includes four short double-helical elements and three loops (D, anti-codon, and T loops). Further hydrogen bonds mediate the characteristic L-shaped molecular structure. tRNAs have two regions of fundamental functional importance: the anti-codon, which is responsible for specific mRNA codon recognition, and the 3' end, to which the tRNAs corresponding amino acid is attached (by aminoacyl-tRNA synthetases). tRNAs cope with the degeneracy of the genetic code in two manners: having more than one tRNA (with a specific anti-codon) for a particular amino acid; and 'wobble' base-pairing, i.e. permitting non-standard base-pairing at the 3rd anti-codon position. Lineage: Eukaryota; Fungi; Ascomycota; Sordariomycetes; Hypocreales; Clavicipitaceae. The record is from RNAcentral. RNAcentral also lists the same sequence under 3 other names.
GGGCGAAUGGUUUAGUGGUAUAAUACUCCCUUAGCAUGGUUACCCCGCCUGGGAGUGGUCCAGGGUUCGAUUCCCUGUUCGUCCA